RNAcentral lists this long non-coding RNA (270 nucleotides) under Gorilla gorilla gorilla (western lowland gorilla). Its description in RNAcentral is "lncRNA (ENSGGOG00000044482.1)". Lineage: Eukaryota; Metazoa; Chordata; Mammalia; Primates; Hominidae. The record is from RNAcentral.
GCCGUCUGGCGGCAUCCGAGCAGCUGCCAGAUCUCCCCUGGAAACACCAGGGUGUGUGCUCGGUUCUGCUUGGUGGCCUCCAGUCUCUUGUCCUCAACGAGGGUUUUGGCAGCUCCCUCUCAGUGGCCUUAAGGAGAGUCGGUAGCUCAAGAAAUCUGCUGGCCGCUAAGCAGGGGUGAGGGGCACCGACUGCCAUCCCUUCUUCAACCACGGCCACUCAGCCACAUCAGUGUCUCCUGCCACCUCCCUCGUGUCCAGCAUCAACACAGC